CAGUCGCCGCGGUAAUACGUAGGUGGCAAGCGUUGUCCGGAAUUAUUGGGCGUAAAGGGCUCACAGGCGGUUUCUUAAGUCUGAUGUGAAAGCCCCCGGCUCAACCGGGGAGGGUCAUUGGAAACUGGGAAACUUGAGUGCAGAAGAGGAGAGUGGAAUUCCACGUGUAGCGGUGAAAUGCGUAGAGAUGUGGAGGAACACCAGUGGCGAAGGCGACUCUCUGGUCUGUAACUGACGCUGAGGAGCGAAAGCGUGGGGAGCGAACAGGAUUAGAUACCCGCGUAGUCCCUGUCUCUUAUAC
Molecule: ribosomal RNA, 301 nt
Filed under: uncultured bacterium
Lineage: Bacteria
Description: partial 16S ribosomal RNA
Rfam family: Bacterial small subunit ribosomal RNA
Source: RNAcentral